UACGGAGGGUGCGAGCGUUAAUCGGAAUAACUGGGCGUAAAGGGCACGCAGGCGGGCUUUUAAGUGAGAUGUGAAAUCCCCGGGCUUAACCUGGGAAUAGCAUUUGAGACUGGGAGUCUAGAGUCCUUUAGGGAGGGGCAGAAUUCCACGUGUAGCGGUGAAAUGCGUAGAGAUGUGGAGGAAUACCGAAGGCGAAGGCAGCUCCCUGGGCAGGUACUGACGCUCAGGUGCGAAAGCGUGGGGAGCAAACAGG
This 253-nucleotide ribosomal RNA is filed under the name uncultured bacterium. Its description in RNAcentral is "partial 16S ribosomal RNA". It matches the Rfam family "Bacterial small subunit ribosomal RNA", at positions 524 to 776 of the family's 1533-position model. The record is from RNAcentral.